UCCACUUUCCUGUAACAUCUUGGGGGCCACAGAAUGGAAACUAAAGGAGAUAUCUGGCAG
Molecule: long non-coding RNA, 60 nt
Filed under: Rhipicephalus microplus (southern cattle tick)
Lineage: Eukaryota; Metazoa; Arthropoda; Arachnida; Ixodida; Ixodidae
Description: uncharacterized LOC119167174
Source: RNAcentral